GUGAACCUGCNGAGGGAUCUUUG
This 23-nucleotide ribosomal RNA is filed under the name Gongora sp. SRR-2011. Its description in RNAcentral is "partial 18S ribosomal RNA". The record is from RNAcentral. Lineage: Eukaryota; Viridiplantae; Streptophyta; Magnoliopsida; Asparagales; Orchidaceae.